GUCGGACCCCCACAAAUGACGUAGUCGAAGGACCCGCCGCCUUUAAAAAGCGACACCGGUUUUUCCAACAUGUGAGGAUGAAACCCAUACCGUGGUCACAAAACAAGGGAAACAAAAUGAACGAAUUACAGGGAAGUCAACCAGGUAAACUAUAGUUAUUGAUUUGUUGCCAUUGGUUUGUCUUGGAACUGAUUUGCUUGCAAGGUGUGUCUACCGCGUUUGUGAUGCUAACCUGACUGAACAGGGGUCUGUCUGCCUGUGUUUUGCUUGUUUACCAGGCACUCCCAGGGUUAAAUUCAGUCACCCUAGCCCUGACAGAAUUCAGAUGUAACACAACCAGUCUAGGCUGUAUAAACCUCAGUGGCCUCUGGUUUAUACCGUGAAUCUACGUUAGCAGUUUUACUGAGGUUUUUAUGGACAGAGUUAACAUUUUCAGCAGUAACCUGGGCAUUUGUCCAUGGUCUUGGCAAUACCAUGACAUUGUUUCUUGUGUUUUAGAGUAAAACUUGGGCUAACGGUGGAAAGCAUUAAGUUGCCACUAACUUGUUUAUAAUACUCAAUCAAGAAAGAUGACUACAUGGCCACAGUGGGCAUUAGUAUGCAUGUCUCUUGGUGUAAGGUGACCAAGUAGCCAUAUUGGUUUAGACAGGUGAGGCCUACUGUGCCACAGGCAAAAGACUAAAGCUCAGAGACAUGUCAAACUUUUACACAUCAUGGUUGCUAAACUGUGUGUAGACUAUGUAAUUUACAGAUGCAUUGCAAUAAAUUGGAACAUAAUAAAAAAGAGGAUUUAUUUCAGUAAUUCAAUUUAAAAAAGUGAAACUCCAACUGUAUAUUUUAUCAAACACACAGAGUGAUAUAUUUCAAGGGUUCAUUUCAAAUAUUGUAACUUACAGAUGAUGAAAACCUAAAAUUCAGUGUCUCAGGAAAUUAGAAUAUUAAGAAAGACCAAUAAUAAUAAAAAAAAAAAGUCAACAGAAACAUUGGGUCAGGUGGGUUUGCUAACCAAUCCACCAUGGUUCUUAAACCAGGUAUUGGUACUUUUGGCAGUAUGGGCAGCCAAGUCCUGCUGGAAAAUGAAAUCAGCAGAAGGAAGCAUGAAGUGCUCUUAAACUGCCUGAACGAUGGCUGCGCUGACCCUGGACCUGAUCGGUGGAUGAACACCAGCAGAUGACAUGGCUCCCCAAACCACCACUGGACACCUUUGCAUGGGUUUUGAGUUAAUUAUAUCUGAUCAAAGUGAUACCAUGAGUUUCAAAUGAACUUUUUCAUGAACUUCUGCAAAAUAUUCAAAUUUUCUGAGAUGCUGAAUUUUGGGUUUUCAUCAGCUGUUAGUUACAAUUAUCAAAACACUUGAAAUAUAUCAGCCUGUGAGUGAUGAAUCUAUGUAUGUGAGUUUCACUUUUUGAACUGAAUUACUGACAUAAAUCCACAUUUUGAUGAUUCCAGUUUACUGAGAUGCACCUUUAAUUACCAUCUUGACCUCAACCUACAUUGACAGUUCUGUUUCAGGUGUACUUCUUAUUUUGUAGCUCUACUUGUCAGGUGUCUUGCAUGUCCAUGUCAUUCAUGUUCUUAUGUUUUAUUGUUUUGUUGCUAUUCUGUUGGUAUCUGUAAUAUUGAGCUUCAAAAUUUGAAGAAGUACUAAAUUAUGAUCCUCUAAUUCAUAUUAUUUGCCAUGUUACUGAUAAAGAGGGGAGACAAGUUUGGUGUAAUUUCUUCCCUGCACUUACCUUAAAUUACCACAAGGUGUCACCCUUGCUUAAUAUACGUGAUUUAAUUUAGAUUUUGAACAAUCUAAAUUAUUGGUGUAGAGUAGACUGAUGAGCUGAUUUGGAUAUUCAUAUUUAAAUUUCGUCUGCAUAUUUAUCUCCUUUGUCAUUGAGAGAAACAUGUCUCACAUUGUAACAGUUUUGGUUAUGACUGAUGGCCGAGGAGUCCUUAAUUAAAAGAUUUCACAUGUAAUGAACACAGGUAAAAUAUGUGAUGAGAGCCAUACAAAUCUCACCUACACUGUGUUUUUGCCUAUACUGCUAUAGCUCUCCUGUAAAAGCCAAAUACUCUUAGUAGGGAUCUGUGAGGUUGUAGAUUUCAGGCUUCAGAAUGAAUUAAAGCAUGUGGAGAUACAUGGAACAGACACUCCUCAUGAAUUACUAAAGUGGCUGACAUGUUAGUGACAUUAGAGAGGGUUGGCAACAUUUAUUGUCUUGGCAGUUGUGUGGUGGUGAUGAUGAAACUGUUGAAUUCAGUGAGGAAGUAGGUCACAGUGCUAUAAAAGAUGUAGCUUUGUCGCAUCAAUGUGCUUAAUAUUAUAUUGCUUUACAGUCUUCAUACACACAUGCAUGGCCCUUGGAGGUUAAAUUCACAUGCACUGCUAUUGACAUAAUAUUCUGGCACACAAGCUUGUGCACACACUAUCUGUAUCCGCACACUAUCCACACUAGUGUCACCUUCUUUCACUUUACCAUCUCAGUUUUCCAGCAGUGGGUUUGACUUUGAACAACAUUCACAGAGAAAAUCAAAGAGAAUUCUUUCUCAGACAAACUCUAGUCCACGGUGUACUGAGUAAAGGAUAUUGCAGUUCAAUGUGAUAUUGAAUUCUCUGAGUUUGUGUAAGAGUGUGUAGUCCUUUGCCAGAAACUGUUUUUUUGUGCAGACAGCCAAAAAGAUAAAAAGUGUUCUAGAGAUCCCAUUUGAAACAGAAAAUAACUGUGAUAAAGUUUGCUCUGGAGGAGGCAUUUUUCAAAAAACCUUCCUGUAAAUGCAAAUGCAGAAUUAUAGAUUAAGUGUGGUGUUAUUAUGAAAAAGGACUCUCCAGCUGGAAUCAUUCUCUCUUAAGAUGAAGCUUGUUUCAGGGGUAGAGGAAGAAAACUCAAAGUUAGAUAAGAUUCUAAAAAUAUCUGGUCAUUUCUGUGCAUGGUCCAAGAUAUAUCUGGCAGCAUCCUUAAAACGGUGGAGAUCAAAACCCAAGAUUGCUAACCGGGAGAAAAUGGGCCGAAAAUGUCAGCACUGUUUGAAAAUAAAGUCAGUAAAAAAUAGGCUAUUUAGACAGUCUGUGUAAUGAUAGAUGCACACUGACGCAUCCAGAGGGAAAAACCAUGAGUUCUUUAAACCAAUACUGAAAAAUGAUGUUGGGAGUAUUUGCACACUUUAAUUUUUGCAUUUAAAAAUAAAUACUGAAAUGACACUAAUAGCUCUUCUGUAUUCAGGCUAGAAACACAAUAACCACUGCCGCAGUGUUUUUUUUUUCUAUCUCAUAUAUUUACUUACUUAUGAUGCUUCUGACCUUUGAUUGCUUUGAUUUUUUAACAGUAUUCAUCUUUACUUGUGUGUGCAGUAUUAAGUACCAAUUUUUCCCCACAAUAGUACAGGUUCUAUGUUUAUCCUCUCAAAAGUCAAAGUCAACUUUAUUGCCAAAUAUGCUAUACAUGUUCAACAUACAGCACAGGUGAAAUUUCAGUCCUCUCAGAGCCACGGUACAUAACAAUAAACUAUAGGAAUAAAACUAUAAAAGUAUAAAUAUAGAAUAAACAACUAAGCUAAACAAAAGACUACCUUAAAUACUCACAUCAAUUUACAAAAUAAAGAUAACAAUAUAAACGGCAUAACAGUAUAAACAGUGUGCAGUAUAAAUAUAAGGAGGAAGUUGAGUGGAAGAAAGUGAAUGUAAACAGUAUGGCAGUAUGACAGUCCUGAUGUGGACACAAUAGUGCAAAUAUGACAGUGUAAACAGUAUGGCAGUCCUGAUGUGGACAUAACAGAGCAAAUAUGGCGAUAUGGACGCAAUAGUACAAAUAAAUGUAAUACAGUAGUAAUGAUGGUGCAGUGAUAAGGGAUAAAGUGAAAGUGUGCAGUCCUGAGGUUGGUGUGUUUGUGGGCAUGAAAUGAAAGCAAACUUGUCUUAUUACUUUUUUCGAAGGGGUGUUUAGCAUGGGGUCAUCAUCAUCUGAAAUAAUAGAAAUAAUAUAAAUGAGAAAAACAGAACAGACUGUUUGCCUUAUUUUUACACCGACACAAGGUGGCAGUAUUGAAGCAUAAAAUUACAGUCAUACAUGGCUGUUUUAUCUGUCAAAGCACAGAAAUUUAACCUCACUGCCAGGCUAACACAUACAGAGUUCUACUAGUACUUUUUAAAGAAGGCAUUGCAUUGCAAACGCAGACUACAUUUUUAUAAAAUAUACCCCAAACCACUGAUCUGCUAAGUUUUAACAAUCAUGUAAAAUUUAUUUUCACAUUACACCAACAUGCAGUAGAUCUUGGUUAUCAAGUUAUGGGUCUCGCUCCAGAUAACAUGAACUGAGCGCCAGCUGCUUUGGAGGCUUGAAUCAGUCCUUCCUAAUGCAUAAUCCAUGAGUUUUUAUUUCUCCCUUGAAAUGUGAGUUGUCUCUUUGAAGUGUUUUGCGGUAUUAUUAUACUGCGGUUUGACAAGUAAUAAUGUUGAUGUCUUGUAUGAGCUGUAAUUACUGGAUCUGGAGGUAGGAGGGCAAAGCCAAAAUGGGCUUGAAGUUUCAGUGUGGCCACGCUUUGAUGUUUCAUGGAUGGGUGGGGGAGUGAGGGGAGCUUUUCCACAGGAGAAAAUACCCACAAGUAGCCCAACUUCUUUUACGUAGGGAAACACGCGUAACCAACCAUAAUGAAGCAUAAUGGCAAAUAAAACGUGCGUUCUUUAGAAGAGACAAGCCGUUUAGCAUUUGGCUUCAGUAAUCACUAAAUGAUAAAUACUCUCAUCUCAAGGUAAUUAUGUGUAUCCUUUUAACACUCAUCAAAUGAUAAGCUUUCAUUGUGGUGUUCAAACAGUAUUGGGAGGGAUAAUGGGCUUUGUUUGCACUCAGCAAACCAAACCAGCUGUACUGCACUGCAUGAUAAUACUAUUUUUGUUGGUGCAAUCACUGGCACACUCUCUGUGUUUGUAAUCCAGCGGCUCUUCCUCUUCUGUACUAUGACUUCAACGCUGUCAUCUGUGCGUAAUUCGGUGACCGGAGUCACCGUCCUUGGCUGUGAAUAUUGUUGAGUCAACUUGAAGGUGUGUUUAUACACGUGUGUGUUUUUGGCUGUCAGCAUGUGUGAAGGCCUGUGUACAUCCAUCUGUGUGAGCAUGUACGUGGAUGUGUGUGUCACAACGUGGAGUGUUUAUGCGUGCGUCUGCUGUGUGUGUUUUUGCAGCUCCCGAGCACGGCCUCAUCCUGCAGAGGUGACUGUGAAACGAUGGGAACAGACAUCACUGUUGGAGGAAGAGGGGUUAGCAAGCAGCCGGCAGGAUAUCCCAUCACAUUAGGAGUGCUGCUGCGCCCACUUCCUUCAACUUUCCCAGUGGAGAGGUCAGUAGAGGUGAAGAGGACUCCUCCCUCUGUCAUUAUCCUUCCAUCACCUGCCUCUCUCCCUGCUGACAACAGAGCUUUCUCCCCUUUCUACUCACCCUUUACCCCCUGCACCAGCUUUGGCUCUUUCUGAUCUCUCACCCCUUUUUCUUUUAUGAUUUCCACAUCUUUUUACCCUCCAUCUGUUCCCCAGUUCCCGUCCCUUUCUAAGCCCUGCAUUUGCCUCUUUUUGCUCUUUUGAUAGCUUGGCUUCACUCUCAAUUUUCCUCUGUCAUUUCCCCUCACAGAUUCACAGAACUCUGGGGUCCUUCUUUCUGAGGCCUUUUGUUGAGUCUGCAGCUGAUCUCUAGAUUGCAACAGAGAUACUAUACACCCACUACAGCUCUCACACAGACAGGCUGGAGAUUGAACCAAAUUCUUUCAAAGGAGGAUCUCUGGUGAGUUUUAGCAAGAAAAGAGAGGAAUAGCUGUGUAUUGAGAGCUUGAGACAGCAGCCAAAUGUGUGUCAAAAAUACAGCAAAAAUCUGGGGCGUGUGGUAAUGCAAUAUAGAUGUUAUGUCAUCAUGAAUACUUCAUGAUACACAAUAGUGUGCGAUGAUAGAAUAAUGUAUGGCUAUUGAAUAAACUGAAGCGCAGAGGUGAGG
This 5962-nucleotide long non-coding RNA is filed under the name Xyrichtys novacula (pearly razorfish). The record is from RNAcentral. Lineage: Eukaryota; Metazoa; Chordata; Actinopteri; Labriformes; Labridae.